Molecule: non-coding RNA, 262 nt
Filed under: Trichobilharzia regenti
Lineage: Eukaryota; Metazoa; Platyhelminthes; Trematoda; Strigeidida; Schistosomatidae
Description: Eukaryotic small subunit ribosomal RNA
Rfam family: Eukaryotic small subunit ribosomal RNA
Source: Rfam by way of RNAcentral
GUCUAAGUACAUAGCUUAAAACGGUGAAACCGCGAAUGGCUCAUUAAAUCAGCUAUGGUUCCUAAGAUCAUAUAUACUAGAUGGAUAACUGUAGUAAUUCUAGAGCUGAUACAUGUAAGUAUGCCCUGACCCGCGAGUGAACGGGUGCAUCUAUUAGAACAGAACAGGCACCAAGAGAUGCACCUCAUAAAAUCUUACAGUUUGUGUGACAGGUGGGAUACUAUCCAGAUUCCCAGACAGGAGCAGAUGGAUGCCUAAAGAG